AACUUUGUGUAGUGGCAGUAUCGUAGCCAAUGAGGUUUAUCCAAGGCGCGAUUAUUGCUGAUUGAUAACAGUUUUGGUAAGA
Molecule: small nuclear RNA, 82 nt
Organism: Vulpes vulpes (red fox)
Lineage: Eukaryota; Metazoa; Chordata; Mammalia; Carnivora; Canidae
Gene: U4
Rfam family: U4 spliceosomal RNA
About the family: U4 small nuclear RNA (U4 snRNA) is a component of the major U2-dependent spliceosome.
Source: Ensembl